RNAcentral lists this ribosomal RNA (789 nucleotides) under uncultured bacterium. RNAcentral's name for it is "bacterial SSU rRNA". It matches the Rfam family "Bacterial small subunit ribosomal RNA", at positions 8 to 796 of the family's 1533-position model. The record is from RNAcentral.
AGAGUUUGAUCAUGGCUCAGAUUGAACGCUGGCGGCAUGCCUUACACAUGCAAGUCGAACGGCAGCGCGGGGCAACCUGGCGGCGAGUGGCGAACGGGUGAGUAAUAUAUCGGAACGUGCCCUGGAGUGGGGGAUAACGCAGCGAAAGUUGCGCUAAUACCGCAUACGAUCUAAGGAUGAAAGCAGGGGACCGCAAGGCCUUGUGCUCCUGGAGCGGCCGAUAUCUGAUUAGCUAGUUGGUGGGGUAAAGGCCUACCAAGGCAUCGAUCAGUAGCUGGUCUGAGAGGACGACCAGCCACACUGGAACUGAGACACGGUCCAGACUCCUACGGGAGGCAGCAGUGGGGAAUUUUGGACAAUGGGCGAAAGCCUGAUCCAGCAAUGCCGCGUGAGUGAAGAAGGCCUUCGGGUUGUAAAGCUCUUUUGUCAGGGAAGAAACGGUGUGGGCUAAUAUCCUGCACUAAUGACGGUACCUGAAGAAUAAGCACCGGCUAACUACGUGCCAGCAGCCGCGGUAAUACGUAGGGUGCAAGCGUUAAUCGGAAUUACUGGGCGUAAAGCGUGCGCAGGCGGUUUUGUAAGUCUGUCGUGAAAGCCCCGGGCUCAACCUGGGAAUUGCGAUGGAGACUGCAAGGCUUGAAUCUGGCAGAGGGGGGUAGAAUUCCACGUAGCAGUGAAAUGCGUAGAGGUGUGGAGGAACACCGAUGGCGAAGGCAGCCCCCUGGGUCAAGAUUGACGCUCAUGCACGAAAGCGUGGGGAGCAAACAGGAUUAGAUACCCUAGUAGUCC